AACACUUUGAGGUUGACCUUUUCUUCCUAAGGGAAAAGAUUGCUGCAGGUAUCAUCAAAACAGCAGGCAUUCAAUCUGAAUUUCAACUUGCUGAUCUUUUCACAAAAGGCCUCAUGCCAAGAAGCCACGACGAAAUGUGUUUUUGGCUUUGGGCUCCUUUCCUCGUUAUGGGCUGUUCUUCUUGCUUUGGGCUUGAGGGCUUCGUGUGAUCCGGCUAUAUAUGAGUCUCCUUGGGAUCCUGGAUGAAUUUGUCUCACACUACUCCUUCUCGAACAUUACUGCAUCUGCUCUCACUUGGUUCCUCACACGUACAUUCGUGAGGGUUUUGAUCUCUUUCGUGUUAACCUUUUGAUUACAUUUGUACACCAGUCAAUCUGUGAUGACUUGGUGAUUUCUUU
This 398-nucleotide long non-coding RNA is filed under the name Helianthus annuus (common sunflower). RNAcentral describes it as "sRNA HanXRQr2_Chr09g0396901". Lineage: Eukaryota; Viridiplantae; Streptophyta; Magnoliopsida; Asterales; Asteraceae. The record is from RNAcentral.